This 348-nucleotide unclassified non-coding RNA is filed under the name soil metagenome. Its description in RNAcentral is "partial contains 5.8S ribosomal RNA, internal transcribed spacer 2, and large subunit ribosomal RNA". The stretch from base 1 to 120 matches the Rfam family "5.8S ribosomal RNA", at positions 35 to 154 of the family's 154-position model. The record is from RNAcentral.
GAUGAAGAACGCAGCGAAAUGCGAUAAGUAAUGUGAAUUGCAGAAUUCAGUGAGUCAUCGAAUCUUUGAACGCACAUUGCGCCCGCCAGUAUUCUGGCGGGCAUGCCUGUCUGAGCGUCAUUUCAACCCUCAUGCCCCUAGGGCGUGGUGUUGGGGAUCGGCCAAAGCCCGCGAGGGACGGCCGGCCCCUAAAUCUAGUGGCGGACCCGUCGUGGCCUCCUCUGCGAAGUAGUGAUAUUCCGCAUCGGAGAGCGACGAGCCCCUGCCGUUAAACCCCCAACUUUCCAAGGUUGACCUCAGAUCAGGUAGGAAUACCCGCUGAACUUAAGCAUAUCAAUAAGCGGAGGA